AUGAGUUGCGGGCCAGCGAUGGGGAAAGUUAAUAGCCAGGGCUUAGAAGUCAGCCCGCUCAAGUCCAAAUUACAGGAAAAGACAGAACAAUCUCAACAGCUGCAAGAUCAAAUUCUCAAGCAGCAGGAGGCUCUAAGUAGGGCAAGCCAAACUCUCAAAGACACCAGGAAAGCAGCUGGCAAUAAGGUAAAAAGAGCGUCUCUCUCUUUCUCCCUAGCUCGCUCUAUCGUCCCUCCUUCCACAAAAAGGGAAAAAAGUGUCUCUGAACUUCUCUCCUCCCCUGUGAUGCUGUAUUCCCAGGAUGUGUUGUUUAAGAAGAAUACAGAGUCUAUUACACACAUUUUACAGUGUCUUAUCUAAAUUUCACCAUUCAGAGAUUGUAUUUGUGUUGCCGUUCACUGAAACACGUACAUCGUACACCGUAUUUUUGUAAUCACAGAGGACUAACUCUGUGUAGAAAGAAAACAGCACGGCUGUGUCAAAUCCGAACAGGCAAAGGAUUCAGUAUUUUAAGUGUUUUCUCAACCGAGCAAAGCUGUCUUCUUUUUGCUUUAAAUGAAUAUCAGAUGACGAAGGGUGGAAAUGUCCAAGUGUGAAGCUUUAGAUGAGUUAACCUAAUUUUCCCUGAGACAAAGUAGAUGUUUGGCGAUAUGCAUUUAAUUCCUCCGCUGCACAAACAACUGGCCGUUUAACCUCCCGACCCCUGCGGAUAAAUAUAUGUAUAGGCAAACAUAAGUGUCUGGUGAUGGGUUUCAAUUAAUCGCUGGGACUUUUAUCUUCUUUGGCAAACCAAACAGACGUUAAGUUCUGCAUGGGUCACGUUACUGGUUCCACAUCUGGUUCUGUUUCGCUGCGAAAACCUUCUCUCUGAUCUCAUAUGCUGAACUACUGUAACUUUGCCACUGUCUGUUUCCUGUUGGAAAAAGGGGAGAGGAGGAGGAAAAAUGCGUCGAACAAUAAUAUCUUUUGUCCCAGAGAAGUUCCUCCGUUGGCACAGCUGAACAAAUAGCCUUAAUAGUUUGGUUUGAAAGAACUCUUCCCAUCGCCGGUGUCUGAUAUUUAUGAUUUCAGCGGCGCUGGACCAAGCUCUUCGUUUUCAUUUCUCUGGAUUUGUUUGAACAGAUCAUCCCUUCCCCACAGAGGAACGAGAUACACAGAGGGGUUUGUUUCUUCCCCCCUUUCCGAAUGCUACUAAAUUAAUAAGACGUCAAAGACAACAAAACCCAGUGUUUUACUUGCUCGACCCUGGCCUCCAUUAGUGAUGAGACAUGAGGGAAGAUAAUUUGUCCCUCUGAAGUUAGUGCACAUCAGAGGAGAGAGACAAUAACAAAGGCCUCCGCGGCGGGGGCCAUGAUGCAUUCCAUUCUUCACAUUACCCAUCAGCCCCUGCUGCCGACUGGCCAGAGUGACUUAUGUAGACUCUUUGAUGACGCAAUUUAUGUGGUAAUUUACAGAGUUAAUAUAGUGAAGUUUGUAAUAUUUUUGCUUAAAAUGGGAAUGCAGUUUAUUUUUAUUUUUUUUCAGUAGUCUACAAUGUAAUAUAAUACAGAAAUUUUGCCUGCCGUAAUUUACAUCCAUAUUCCAGACCAGGAAAUUUGAAAAUGGUCCAUUAUUGUUUAAUUUUUUUUUAUUUAUUUAGUCUAUGUCAUGUAAUUUUCAUAAUUUUAUAUAUAUUUUAAUACAACUAUUUUGCUGUGUUUUUAAAAAUAUUUUUUAAUAUGAAUGUAUAUGGUAAAAUUGUCAAUUCUCUCACUAUUUUGAAGAUUCAAAUAUUUUCAAAACUUCUUAUAUAUAUAUAUAUAUAUAUAUAUAUAUAUAUAUAUAUAUAUAUAUAUUUAUUUAUUUAUUUUUAUUUUUUAUUUUUUUUUUUUUCAACA
This 1877-nucleotide long non-coding RNA is filed under the name Carassius auratus (goldfish). RNAcentral's name for it is "lncRNA (ENSCARG00000055316.1)". Lineage: Eukaryota; Metazoa; Chordata; Actinopteri; Cypriniformes; Cyprinidae. The record is from RNAcentral.